GAUGAACGCUGGCGGCGUGCCUAAUACAUGCAAGUCGAGCGAACGGACGAGAAGCUUGCUUCUCUGAUGUUAGCGGCGGACGGGUGAGUAACACGUGGAUAACCUACCUAUAAGACUGGGAUAACUUCGGGAAACCGGAGCUAAUACCGGAUAAUAUUUUGAACCGCAUGGUUCAAAAGUGAAAGACGGUCUUGCUGUCACUUAUAGAUGGAUCCGCGCUGCAUUAGCUAGUUGGUAAGGUAACGGCUUACCAAGGCAACGAUGCAUAGCCGACCUGAGAGGGUGAUCGGCCACACUGGAACUGAGACACGGUCCAGACUCCUACGGGAGGCAGCAGUAGGGAAUCUUCCGCAAUGGGCGAAAGCCUGACGGAGCAACGCCGCGUGAGUGAUGAAGGUCUUCGGAUCGUAAAACUCUGUUAUUAGGGAAGAACAUAUGUGUAAGUAACUGUGCACAUCUUGACGGUACCUAAUCAGAAAGCCACGGCUAACUACGUGCCAGCAGCCGCGGUAAUACGUAGGUGGCAAGCGUUAUCCGGAAUUAUUGGGCGUAAAGCGCGCGUAGGCGGUUUCUUAAGUCUGAUGUGAAAGCCCACGGCUCAACCGUGGAGGGUCAUUGGAAACUGGAAAACUUGAGUGCAGAAGAGGAAAGUGGAAUUCCAUGUGUAGCGGUGAAAUGCGCAGAGAUAUGGAGGAACACCAGUGGCGAAGGCGACUUUCUGGUCUGUAACUGACGCUGAUGUGCGAAAGCGUGGGGAUCAAACAGGAUUAGAUACCCUGGUAGUCCACGCCGUAAACGAUGAGUGCUAAGUGUUAGGGGGUUUCCGCCCCUUAGUGCUGCAGCUAACGCAUUAAGCACUCCGCCUGGGGAGUACGACCGCAAGGUUGAAACUCAAAGGAAUUGACGGGGACCCGCACAAGCGGUGGAGCAUGUGGUUUAAUUCGAAGCAACGCGAAGAACCUUACCAAAUCUUGACAUCCUUUGACAACUCUAGAGAUAGAGCCUUCCCCUUCGGGGGACAAAGUGACAGGUGGUGCAUGGUUGUCGUCAGCUCGUGUCGUGAGAUGUUGGGUUAAGUCCCGCAACGAGCGCAACCCUUAAGCUUAGUUGCCAUCAUUAAGUUGGGCACUCUAAGUUGACUGCCGGUGACAAACCGGAGGAAGGUGGGGAUGACGUCAAAUCAUCAUGCCCCUUAUGAUUUGGGCUACACACGUGCUACAAUGGACAAUACAAAGGGCAGCGAAACCGCGAGGUCAAGCAAAUCCCAUAAAGUUGUUCUCAGUUCGGAUUGUAGUCUGCAACUCGACUACAUGAAGCUGGAAUCGCUAGUAAUCGUAGAUCAGCAUGCUACGGUGAAUACGUUCCCGGGUCU
Molecule: ribosomal RNA, 1372 nt
Filed under: uncultured bacterium
Lineage: Bacteria
Description: bacterial SSU rRNA
Rfam family: Bacterial small subunit ribosomal RNA
Source: RNAcentral